RNAcentral lists this ribosomal RNA (253 nucleotides) under uncultured bacterium. Its description in RNAcentral is "partial 16S ribosomal RNA". It matches the Rfam family "Bacterial small subunit ribosomal RNA", at positions 524 to 776 of the family's 1533-position model. The record is from RNAcentral.
UACGUAGGGGGCAAGCGUUAUCCGGAAUUACUGGGUGUAAAGGGUGCGUAGGCGGUAAUGUAAGUCAGAUGUGAAAGCCCGAAGCUCAACUUCGGGACUGCAUUUGAAACUGCAUAGCUAGAGUACAGGAGAGGUGAGUGGAAUUCCUCAUGUAGCGGUGAAAUGCGUAGAUAUUAGGAAGAACACCAAUGGCGGAGGCAACUCACUGGGCUUUAACUGACGCUGAGGCACGAAAGCGUGGGGAGCGAACAGG